This 275-nucleotide ribosomal RNA is filed under the name uncultured prokaryote. RNAcentral's name for it is "partial 16S ribosomal RNA". It matches the Rfam family "Bacterial small subunit ribosomal RNA", at positions 524 to 800 of the family's 1533-position model. The record is from RNAcentral.
UACGUAGGGGCUAGCGUUAUCCGGAAUUACUGGGCGUAAAGGGUGCGUAGGCGGUCUUUCAAGCCAGAAGUGAAAGGCUACGGCUCAACCGUAGUAAGCUUUUGGAACUGUAAGACUUGAGUGCAGGAGAGGAGAGUGGAAUUCCUAGUGUAGCGGUGAAAUGCGUAGAUAUUAGGAGGAACACCAGUAGCGAAGGCGGCUCUCUGGACUGUAACUGACGCUGAGGCACGAAGGCGUGGGGAUCAAACAGGAUUAGAUACCCGCGUAGUCCCUGA